GGAAGUAAAGUCGUAACAAGGUUUCCGUAGGUGAACCUGCGGAAGGAUCAUUAUUGUAUAACCGAGGUGCGAGGGCUGUCGCUGACCCGAAAGGUCGUGCACGCCCAAGUGCCCUCACACACAUCCAUCUCACCCCUAUGUGCACCACCGCGUGGGUCCCCCUUUGGCUUGUUCGGAGGGGGGCUUACGUUUUCACACAAACUUUGUAUGCAGUGUAGAAUGUAUUUUUUGUUUUUGCGAUCACGCAAUCAAUACAACUUUCAACAACGGAUCUCUUGGCUCUC
This 284-nucleotide unclassified non-coding RNA is filed under the name plant metagenome. Its description in RNAcentral is "partial contains small subunit ribosomal RNA, internal transcribed spacer 1, and 5.8S ribosomal RNA". The stretch from base 1 to 53 matches the Rfam family "Eukaryotic small subunit ribosomal RNA", at positions 1778 to 1831 of the family's 1831-position model. The record is from RNAcentral.